RNAcentral lists this ribosomal RNA (431 nucleotides) under uncultured bacterium. Its description in RNAcentral is "partial 16S ribosomal RNA". It matches the Rfam family "Bacterial small subunit ribosomal RNA", at positions 338 to 786 of the family's 1533-position model. The record is from RNAcentral.
CCUACGGGAGGCAGCAGUGAGGAAUCUUCCGCAAUGGGCGAAAGCCUGACGGAGCAACGCCGCGUGGGCGAUGAAGGCCUUCGGGUCGUAAAGCCCUUUUCUGUGGGACGAUAAUGACGGUACCACAGGAAUAAGCCACGGCUAACUACGUGCCAGCAGCCGCGGUAAUACGUAGGUGGCUAGCGUUAUCCGGAUUCACUGGGCGUAAAGAGCGCGUAGGCGGUGUGCUAAGUUGGACGUGAAAGCCCCCGGCUUAACCGGGGGAGGUCGUCCAAUACUGGUGCACUUGAGGGUGGACGGGGAAAGCGGAAUUCCCGGUGUAGGGGUAAAAUGCGUAGAUAUCGGAAGGAACACCAGUGGCGAAGGCGGCUUUCUAGACGGCCACCGACGCUGAGGGACGAAAGCAGGGGGAGCGAACGGGAUUAGAUACC